This 490-nucleotide ribosomal RNA is filed under the name uncultured bacterium. Its description in RNAcentral is "partial 16S ribosomal RNA". It matches the Rfam family "Bacterial small subunit ribosomal RNA", at positions 30 to 507 of the family's 1533-position model. The record is from RNAcentral.
AUUGAACGCUGGCGGCAGGCCUAACACAUGCAAGUCGAACGGUAACAGGAAGAAGCUUGCUUCUUUGCUGACGAGUGGCGGACGGGUGAGUAAUGUCUGGGAAACUGCCUGAUGGAGGGGGAUAACUACUGGAAACGGUAGCUAAUACCGCAUAACGUCGCAAGACCAAAAAGGGGGACCUUCUGGCCUCUUGCCAUCGUAUGUGCCCAGAUGGGAUUAGCUAGUAGGUGGGGUAACGGCUCACCUAGGCGACGAUCCCUAGCUGGUCUGAGAGGAUGACCAGCCACACUGGAACUGAGACACGGUCCAGACUCCUACGGGAGGCAGCAGUGGGGAAUAUUGCACAAUGGGCGCAAGCCUGAUGCAGCCAUGCCGCGUGUAUGAAGAAGGCCUUCGGGUUGUAAAGUACUUUUAGCGGGGAGGAAGGGAGUAAAGUUAAUACCUUUGCUCAUUGACGUUACCCGCAGAAGAAGCACCGGCUAACUCCGUG